UACGGGGGGGGCAAGCGUUGUUCGGAAUUACUGGGCGUAAAGGGCUCGUAGGCGGCCAACUAAGUCGGUUGUGAAAUCCCCCGGCUCAACCGGGGAAUUGCGUCCGAUACUGGAUGGCUGGAAGCCGGGAGAGGGAUGCAGAAUUCCAGGUGUAGCGGUGAAAUGCGUAGAUAUCUGGAGGAACACCGGUGGCGAAGGCGGCAUCCUGGACCGGUCUUGACGCUGAGGAGCGAAAGCUAGGGUAGCAAACGGG
Molecule: ribosomal RNA, 253 nt
Filed under: uncultured bacterium
Lineage: Bacteria
Description: partial 16S ribosomal RNA
Rfam family: Bacterial small subunit ribosomal RNA
Source: RNAcentral